AAUGAACGCUGGCGGCAGGCCUAACACAUGCAAGUCGAACGGUAACACAGGAAGAGUUUGCUCUUAGGGGUGGCGAGUGACGGGUGGGUGAGGAAUACAUCAGAAUCCACUUUUUCGUGGGGGAUAUCGUGGGGAAACUGACGCUAACACCGCAUACGACCUACGGCAGAAAGCAGGGGAUAAUGGUACCUUGCCCUCACGCAUGAGCCGAUGUCGGAUUAGCUAGGUGGCGGGGUAAAGGCCCACCAACGCGACGAUCCUUAGCUAGUCUGAGAGGAAGACCAGCCACACUGGAACUGAGACACGGUCCAGACUCCUACGGGAGGCACCAGUGGGGAAUAUUGGACAAUGGGCGCAAGCCUGAUCCAGCCAUACCGCGUGGGUGAAGAAGGCCUUCGGGUUGUAAAGCCCUUUUGUUGGGAAAGAAGAGCGGCAGGUUAAUACCCCGCUGUACUGACGGUACCCAAAGAAUAAGCACCGGCUAACUUCGUG
Molecule: ribosomal RNA, 492 nt
Filed under: uncultured bacterium
Lineage: Bacteria
Description: partial 16S ribosomal RNA
Rfam family: Bacterial small subunit ribosomal RNA
Source: RNAcentral